AAUCCAUGGUGCGGGCCUCUCUGAAUCAACUUUUUAAAAUGUUCCUAAGUCUUAUAAAAACUUUCCCCUUCCAUUUGUCUAAAAACAACAAUUUCUCUUCUUAGUUG
Small nucleolar RNA from Gossypium raimondii (Peruvian cotton), 107 nucleotides. It matches the Rfam family "Plant small nucleolar RNA R71". Rfam says of the family: R71 is a member of the C/D box family of snoRNAs containing the C (UGAUGA) and D (CUGA) box motifs. Multiple nearly identical copies of this snoRNA have been identified in Arabidopsis, and it is thought to function as a 2'-O-ribose methylation guide for 18S ribosomal RNA. NCBI's taxonomy places the organism in Eukaryota, Viridiplantae, Streptophyta, Magnoliopsida, Malvales, Malvaceae. The record is from Rfam.